CCCUUAGAGUUUGAUCCUGGCUCAGGAUGAACGCUAGCGGCAGGCCUAGUACAUGCAAGUCGAACGGGGUUGAGUAGCAAUACUCAAUUCAGUGGCGCACGGGUGCGUAACGCGUAUGCAACCUACCUUAAACUGGGGGAUAGCCCGGGGAAACCCGGAUUAAUACCGCAUAAUAUCCUUUGAGGGCAUCUGAAGAGGAUUAAAGAUUUAUUGGUUUAAGAUGGGCAUGCGUGCCAUUAGCUAGUUGGUGAGGUAACGGCCCACCAAGGCUACGAUGGCUAGGGGUUCUGAGAGGAUGAUCCCCCACACUGGUACUGAGAUACGGACCAGACUCCUACGGGAGGCAGCAGUAGGGAAUAUUGGGCAAUGGAGGCAACUCUGACCCAGCCAUGCCGCGUGCAGGAUGAAGGCCUUCUGGGUUGUAAACUGCUUUUAUCUGGGAAGAAAACACCCAUGCGUGGGAAACUGACGGUACCAGAUGAAUAAGCACCGGCUAACUCCGUGCCAGCAGCCGCGGUAAUACGGAGGGUGCAAGCGUUGUCCGGAUUUAUUGGGUUUAAAGGGUGCGUAGGCGGCCCGGUAAGUCAGUGGUGAAAGCCUCCAGCUCAACUGGAGAACUGCCAUUGAUACUGCCGGGCUUGAGUACAGACGAGGUUGGCGGAAUUGAUUGUGUAGCGGUGAAAUGCAUAGAUACAAUCAAGAACUCCGAUUGCGUACGCAGCUAACUAGGCUGUAACUGACGCUGAGCACGAAAGCGUGGGGAGCGAACAGAUUAGAUACCCUGGUAGUCCACGCCGUAAACGAUGAUUACUCGAUGUUGGCGAUACACUGUCAGCGUC
This 839-nucleotide ribosomal RNA is filed under the name uncultured bacterium. RNAcentral describes it as "bacterial SSU rRNA". It matches the Rfam family "Bacterial small subunit ribosomal RNA", at positions 1 to 847 of the family's 1533-position model. The record is from RNAcentral.